UUUGCUCCUGCUCCAGAGGAGGGUGCCCUUGGGCGGCGGAGUGAGGGCCCAGACGGCGACCACCUCGCCCUCGGCCACCGUCUCCUCGCCGGAGGCGAAGAAGACGCUGAGAAAGGGCACCGUCAUCAUCACCGGCGCCUCCUCCGGGCUCGGCCUCGCCACCGCCAAGGCCCUCGCAGAGACCGGCAAAUGGCACGUCAUCAUGGCCUGCCGAGACUUCCUCAAGGCCGAGAGAGCCGCCAAAUCCGUCGGCAUGAACAAGGAGAACUACUCCGUCAUCCACCUCGACCUCGCCUCCCUCGACAGCGUCCGCCAGUUCGCCGACAACUUCCGCCGCUCCGGCCGCCCCCUCGACGCCCUCGUCUGCAACGCCGCCGUCUACCUCCCCACCGCCAAGGAGCCAACUUUCACCGCCGACGGCUUCGAGCUCAGCGUGGGCACCAACCACCUCGGCCAUUUCCUCCUCGCCCGCCUCCUCCUCGACGACCUCAAGAAGUCCGAUUACCCCAGCCGCCGCCUCAUCAUCGUCGGCUCCAUCACCGGUAAGCUCUCUCCCUUCCCUCCCUCCCUUGUCCACCGGCGGCGCCGCUGAUAUUUUCCGGCGAUCUCCAGGCAACACGAACACUUUGGCCGGGAAUGUGCCGCCCAAGGCGGACCUGGGGGACCUGCGGGGGCUCGCCGGAGGGCUGAACGGGCUGAACACCUCCUCCAUGAUCAACGGCGGCGAGUUCGACGGCGCCAAGGCCUACAAGGACAGCAAGGUCUGCAACAUGCUCACCAUGCAGGAGUUCCACCGGCGAUUCCACGAGGAGACGGGGAUCACCUUCGCCUCCCUCUACCCCGGCUGCAUCGCCACCACGGGGCUCUUCAGGUCCCACAUCCCCCUCUUCAGGAUCCUCUUCCCCCCCUUCCAGAAGUACAUCACCAAGGGCUUCGUCUCCGAGGAAGAAUCCGGCAAGAGGCUCGCCCAGG
Molecule: long non-coding RNA, 972 nt
Filed under: Spirodela polyrhiza (greater duckweed)
Lineage: Eukaryota; Viridiplantae; Streptophyta; Magnoliopsida; Alismatales; Araceae
Description: long non-coding RNA (SPOL_LNC000956)
Source: RNAcentral